This is a long non-coding RNA of Capsicum annuum, 575 nucleotides long. RefSeq lists it as uncharacterized. Lineage: Eukaryota; Viridiplantae; Streptophyta; Magnoliopsida; Solanales; Solanaceae. The transcript has 4 exons. The record is from RefSeq and is a predicted model, not a curated record.
GAAAGGAUCUUGUUGAUUCAAGAUGACUUAUCAGCUUAUGGAGUUAAUUUACAGACUCUUAAGGAAAUUCCAUGAGUCAGUAUCCUCUAUAUUCAGAAAUGAUAAUUGCAGCGACUCAACAUCAAAGCCUGGUUCAACAAAAGCCAAACCAGAUGUUGAAGCUUUCAAAAAAGACCAGAAUAAGCAAGCUCAGAUAGUUUCUCAGAUCACUAAGGAAGAAAAGGAAUACCAAUUUGAACAAAAUAUUUAUAGGCAGACUAAGAUUUCACCGAGGUUUACAUUCACAUUCUGUUUUAAGUGAUUGAAGAUGCAUUAGCUGGAGUAUAAACUGCCAAAGCUGCGAAAAUAAGAUGUAUAGUUGUGACGAUAAAACUAUCCGAAGAUACUCUAAAAGCAGGGGAACCAUUACUCAUCGAAAAGGAAAUAAGCGAUAUCUCACGUGAAGAUAUACUCAAUGGUGGCUCUGGUAGCCAUAGUAUAUAGUUCACCAACAUGUUAAGAAAUGGCAUUUUUGUGUACCAUUUGACAAAUGUAAAUAUUGAAACUCUUUAAUGUUAUUUAUGAAAAAACUUGCG